Molecule: ribosomal RNA, 2181 nt
Filed under: Triticum aestivum (bread wheat)
Lineage: Eukaryota; Viridiplantae; Streptophyta; Magnoliopsida; Poales; Poaceae
Description: partial small subunit ribosomal RNA
Source: RNAcentral
AUACAUACAUACAUACACGCGCACGCACACCUGCCCGGCAUCCGCACCUGACCUUCUCCCCUACCGCGCCUCGGCUCGGCCAGUCAACCAUGGGGGACGCCACGGCCUCGGCCUCGGCGAGCACCAAGACGGCGGAGCUGGACGCGCCGCUCAGCGCCCUGGGCUUCGAGAUGGAGGAGGUCUCGCCGUCGCGGCUCACCGGCCGCCUCCUCGUCACGGACACCUGCUGCCAGCCGUUCAAGGUGCUGCACGGCGGCGUGUCGGCGCUGAUAGCUGAGGGCCUGGCGAGCAUGGGCGCGCACAUGGCGUCGGGAUACCGCCGCGUCGCCGGCAUGCAGCUCAGCAUCAACCACUUCCGGAGCGCCGCCGCCGGCGACACCGUCCUCGCGCGGGCCGUCCCCGUCCACAUCGGCCGCUCCACCCAGGUAUGGGAGGUGAAGCUCUGGAAAAUGGAUGCAUCCACACAGGGGGAAGGGCCUCUAAUCGCCGAGGCAAGGGUCACGCUCCUCUGUAAUCUGCCGGUGCCGGAUGAGAUGAGAAGUGCGGGAGAAUCCCUUAGAAAAUACUCUAAAUUGUAAAACUCGGGACAAAUUAAGCUUGACAUGGGAUGAUCCAUUGAUAUGUGAUUCUGUGAAAAUAUAUUCUUGUAAGCUUCUUACUUUUCACUUGUGCGAACACUGAUGGAUCAACUCGGCAGAAACAAGCUUCGUGUGUGUGGUUGAUGGACCUCACUAUCCAGCAAUUACUAAUUUCGAAUGUGCUUCAAUUUUGUAUCUAUUCAUUAUUCCAGUAUAUAUAUAUAUGUAGUUUUACGGUGAUUGUGGAGUUACGAAACGUAAUUUCAUGUAACUCCUCCUUUGAUUAUUCUCCACCGUUGAUUUAAACCUAUUAAGUAAAAAAAAUUAAGUUUAAUCAACAAGGGUAUUAUGGUCAUGGGUGACUGUUUUUUUAGCAUGUCUGUCAAUUCCCUUGUCAAUCGCCCGCAUCUGGCCUAACCCAUCUCGCACGAGGACCUGGAGACGGCGGCGCAGGAGCGAGGACCGGGCGACGCCGCCAGCGCGAGGACCUAGAGGCGACGCCGCCGGCGCGAGGUCAUGGAGGCGAAGCCCCGUCUUUGGUUGGUCGCUGUGGCCGCUCCCUCACGGCCCCGCCGACACCGGCGCGAGGUCCUGACGACGCUGACCCGAGAUGGAGGCCCCGCCUGCGCUUGGCCGUAGUGGUGUACCAACGCAGCAAGGUAUCUCUUCCCCUGCCCCCGUCUCUUCCUUCCGUCCCUCCCUCCCUGCUGUUAGUUUUGCCGGCGGCGGACCAACUGCUCGUUGCAGCACCUUCAUAUAUAUAUAUCCAGUUAGGGUUGAGCAGUGAACACACCUCAUUUAGAUAUUCCAGUACUGAAAUUGGUGGGGGACAAACACUGACCUCUGAAUUGCCUAUUGUUGAUUACAAAAUGUUGGUAACAUAGUUUCAUUUGUUGAUGGAUUAGUCUGUGUGGUCAGACAUCUGUCGGAGUCUUGGCUAGGAUGGCAGAGAGAUGCUACAUUUGUGGACUGAUUCAUGCGUAAUUAAGCUACCUGGUGAUGAAAAAUAGGUGCAACUUGAAGUAAUGAAUCGUUAAAUAUUCCUUGCUAUGAUAAAGUUUUCAGAACUAUGGAAAGUGUGUUAUAUGCUGCUUAGAGGUUAUAUAGCUGGAGGCGCCUAACAAUUGUAGAAGACAGUCUGCAUUGGUUUUGUCUUUUGUGUGUACAUCAGUGUGUCAUAAAUUCAUAAACUGUAGUAUCAGUCUUCUCAGUGCAAAACUGGGGACUACAAUUCCAUGGCACUCACAUGCUGAGAACUUCAAAGAGUAAAUCAUGAGUCGUCAGUGAACUUUUGUUCCAAGCUCACUGCGCAGCGCCUACGGCGGACAUUCAGAUAUUGAGAUGUGGACCUCCUCCACUGAAGAAAGCCAUGGCUGCAAACCUAGAUGACCUUGGGUACAUCAAGGAGAUGCAGUUCCAGUUCUAAGUUUCAACGGUGCAAGCUACCAAAAUAAUGGUCGCAUGGCCGUUCUUAUUAUUUUCAGUUUGACAUGAGCUGACUGAUACCAUUUAGCUCGUCCGAAAAAAAACUCCAUAGUCCAUGAAGUGUCAUUUCUGAUGAAUGAUAGUAACCCUAAUUGAGAGGUUGUGUCACUGUACCGUG